Hemicordylus capensis (graceful crag lizard) is the source of this 422-nucleotide long non-coding RNA. RefSeq lists it as uncharacterized. NCBI's taxonomy places the organism in Eukaryota, Metazoa, Chordata, Lepidosauria, Squamata, Cordylidae. The record is from RefSeq and is a predicted model, not a curated record. The transcript has 2 exons.
UCCAGUAGGGCCCAAGCCAGCCAGGAAGGAGGAGGCAGCCAGAGAGGCCUCCACUGUUCUCUGCAGCAGAAGACCCCUUGCUGCCAGGGUAAAGGAGCUGUGCUGUGCAGGGAAGUGUGUGUGACAACCAUUCCAACAGUUGCCCAUGCCAAGCUGCCACAUUGUUCUACCAGCACUCGCCUAGCCUCCUUCGACCCAGCACAACCUGGGGGUGGCUGCAAACAUAAACAUGCAUUCUUCAGUCUCUCAUUGCAGCAACAUAUGAAAUUAUGAGCUGGAGCUGAUAUCAAGAACUUGGCUUAUGUUGGUGGUUGAAGAAAGGAGCAGAGCUCAAAGUUCUAUGUAAUUUUGUUUUUGUAAGCUGCCUUUUAAGUCAAAAGGCAGGGUAAAAAUACCUUAAAUAAAUAAAAUGAUGCUCUUGA